AUGGUUUUGUAUUCAAUUGCUGAUAUGGAAAAAGAGAGUUACUACUAUCAUAACAGUGGUAGUGGUAGUGGUAGUAGUAGUGGUAGUGGUAGUGGUAGUGGUAGUGGUAGUGGUAGUGGUAGUCUAAAACUAUGCAACCUUGAAAUGAGUAUGUAUAAAAGUUUAAUAUAUAUUUACUUUCAAAAAAAUUCGUAUGAGAAUGUAAACGUAGCCAUAAAUAAUCAGUGUUUGACAAUUAAUUAUGUAAAAGCAGUAGCAAAGCUUUUUAAAAAAAUAUGUACCAUAUGUGAUAAUAAUGAAAGAAAAAAUGUCCAUUAUGAUGAACAGUUUAUUUUGAAUAAUAAAAAAUACCGAUAUGAACAAGAUGCGAGUCAGUUAGAGGAUAUAGUCAGGUGUAAUAAUGAUAAAACAAGUGACAGAGGUGAAUUCUGUUUAUAUACGGCAUGUAUUUCUACUGCUGUUACUGCUGUUACUGAUAUUAAUGGUAACAAUAACAACGACAAUAAUGACAAUAAUGACAAUAAUGACAAUAAUGACAAUAAUGACAAUAANNNNNNNNNNAAUGACAAUAAUGACAAUAAUGACAAUAAUGACAAUAAUGACAAUAACGAUAAUAAUGACAAUAAUGAUAAUAACAACGAAAAUAGCAACGACAAUAUAUACCAAGAUAAUUAUUACGAGUUAACGAAAUCAAAUUCUAGCAACUGCAAUUUGUUUACCCUUAGGGAUGAUAAAAAUUCCUUUUUAGAGUAUAAAUACAUUUUAUUCGGUUUUUAUGAUUUAUUUUUAAUAAAUGAAAAUAACAAUAAUAAGUAUAAUAAUAAUACACAUGAUAGUUACACGUAUGGUAGUACCAAUAAUCUUUAUGUGGACAAUACAAUAAAUAAAAAUAAAAACAGAAAUACAAACAGAAAUGAAAACAGAAAUGCAAACAGAAAUGCAAACAGAAAUACCAAUUUAAUAUAUGCUAGUGACAUACAUAGUCAUUUUAAUUUUAUUAAUCUUAUAAAAAAUUAUUACAACUAUGAUAAUGUUUGUUUAUUUAUAAGCCCUGAACCAAAUAAAAACAAUGAACCAAAUAAAAACAAUGAACCAAAUAAAAUUAAGAAUAAAAUAAAAAUGAAUUUUUACUUAUUUCUUAAAAUUUUAUUAUUUUUUCAAAACAAUUAUAAACAUGAGUAUGUAACAUUUUUCCAUUUAUUAUAUAAUUGUUUAGAAGAACAAAGGACAUGUUGUUUCUCUUCUGAUAUGGACAAAAUAUACGAUAAUAAUUUUUAUUUUCUGAAUUUUUAUGAACUAUUCAAUAUAAAAAGAUAUUGUACAAUUUUAUUAGCAUUUUUUAUACAUAUGUAUAAUUUUUGUUUAAAAGAGUAUGGUAUUAAUAACAACGGUUUUAAUUCACAUAUUACCUUCUUUUUAAUUAAUAAAAAAACAAAAAAAAAUAAGAACUUAUUUCGAUAUAUAUGUAAAAAUUAUAAAAGCAAUUACGACCAAAACGUUUUAUAUGAACCAAUAAACUUACAUAAACAAACACAAAUAAACAUAAAAGAUGUAUUUUCCUCUACAAAUAAUAUUUCCCAAAAAAAAGAAAAAAAAAAUAAUGAAAUUAAGGAAAAAACAUUGUUUAGUUAUAUAAAUCCUGUUGAGAUGAUAGGUGAUGAUGAUAAAACACAGGAAGCAACAAAUAAAAAAAAUUUUCAAAUUAAUAAUAAAACAUAUGACACAAUAUAUUAUAAAUGUAUGUAUUAUGUUCAUAAAUUAAAUUGUUAUUUAAAGAUAAUAUUAAACAAUAGAAAUAAUAUUUUUCGAAAAAAUAAUGAUAUGUGUAAUGUUUAUUCUAAUAUAUAUAUAUGUCAAACAUGUUUUAUUAUGUUAAAUACAUUACGAAUUAAUAAUACUAAUAUAUAUGUGAAUAUAAAAUAUAAUAUAAAAAAAAAUAACCUAGAUUAUUUUUAUCUACUAUUAUUAAUUAAUUUUUAUACUCUAUUUUUUAUCUUGAUCUUGAACGAAAAAAAGCGAGAAAGGCGAGAAAAAAAAGAAGGAGAAAAAAAACAUAUAUCUGUGCAAGACGCACAAAUCGGGGAUUAUAAAAGUAUAAAUGAAAUAAUGGGAGGUUAUUGUAUACAUAAUUUUUUUAAACAAAUGCAAACUGAAGAACAAAAUAAUGUCACCGUCAUGAACAAGAACAAUACCGCUAUAAACAAAAAAAGCACCAUUAUGGAAAAAAAAAGCACCAUUAUGGAAAAAAAAAACACCAUUAUAGAAAAAAAAAACACCAUUAUAGAAAAAAAAAAAACCACUAUGGAAAAAAAAAAAACCAUUAUGAGAAAAAAAAACAUCGUUAUGGAAAAAAAAAGCAUUAGCCAUCUUGACAUAAGUACAAAUUUUACCGAAAUAAAUUCGACUAAUUUCAAAAAGUACUUAUUUUUAAUUUACGAAUGUAUUAUAACAAACAUAAAUAAAAUAAAAGAAGAUAAUUACAUUAUUCAGAAAGUUUUUUUUAAAAUAUAUUGUCCUCUUUGUAAAAAGGUAUGUGUAUCGAAUUUAUAUAACAAUUAUUAUAUAUGUGAAAAUAAACACAUAUUCAAUAAGUGUAUGAUGACUUUUGGUUGUAUAUAUAAAAAUUUUUUAAUAUUACCAAUUAUAUUUCUGUUGGAUUGUGUUAGUGAUAACGUAUAUGGUGUCGGACAUGUCUCUGCGGAGUCUGCUCCAGUUGAACUUAAUAAUACUUCCUAUUUUAAUUUACGAAAAUUGAUAAACAAUAUUUAUGUUUGUUCAUUUUGCCAUUAUUUUAUUACAACCGAUAAUUUUUUUUUUGAACAUAAUUUUUGUUUUAAACAAUGUCCUUUUUGUAAUCAUCACUUGUAUAUUUUAUUAUCCUGAGUAAUUGUUUCUAGCUCAUUUUUGUUGUUUUCAAAAAAAUACCUAAAUGAUUUUUUGUGUAUUGUAUUUUUACGUCACUAUGUACACCCAUAUAUACAUAUGUAUAUACAUAUAUGUAAGCACCUUUUUAAUUUUUUUUUUUUUUUUUUGUUCGUUUUUGAAAACCUUUAAGUAUAUUUUUAAAAUUAUGUCAGAAUUUUUUUUUUUUUUUUUUUUUUUUUUUUUAUAGUAUGUAAAUAUAUAUACACAUAUUUGUUUUGGUAUUGUUCAUAAAAAAAAAAAAAAAAAAAAAAAAAAUCCUUGUGUGCGCCUAUUUUAUUUUUCAUAUUAAAGAUAUAUUUUUAUAAUACUUACAUAAACAUUUACGUGUAAAAGUAAAACUAUGUUUUUAAUAAAUAAAUAACCAAACAUGAUAGUUUUAUUAUU
RNAcentral lists this long non-coding RNA (3309 nucleotides) under Piliocolobus tephrosceles (Ugandan red Colobus). Its description in RNAcentral is "lncRNA (ENSPTEG00000018711.1)". The record is from RNAcentral. Lineage: Eukaryota; Metazoa; Chordata; Mammalia; Primates; Cercopithecidae.